This 1557-nucleotide unclassified non-coding RNA is filed under the name Hevea brasiliensis (rubber tree). Lineage: Eukaryota; Viridiplantae; Streptophyta; Magnoliopsida; Malpighiales; Euphorbiaceae. The record is from RNAcentral.
AGCAAUUGAAUCUUCAAUUUGAGUAGGAAGAGUCAUCAAUUGGACAUAUAUAUGGAAUGACCCUACUUCACUAGCAUCACCCUCUUAUCCGAAAAUGACAUUUAAUUUGAAGAUAUACAUAUAAACAGACACGGCUAAAACGUUCACUAAUUAAAAGAUUACACGUACAACUAUAGUAUUCAUAAAUAUUAUUGAAGUUCCAUAAUACUUUUAUAUCAUCAAACACUUGGAAACAAGAGGAAAAUAUACAUAGAAACACUCAGCUCCUUUGGAUUUUAACUUUUUCCAAGCAGGACUUUCCAUAAAUUCGGCUGCUUUGUUGCAUCUCCAAGUAAUCCUUGUACUUCAUUGGAAUAUAAUUAGCUGAUGGGCUGUUCUCUUUUUCCAUCAAUGGAGAAGCUGGCUUUACAAUUGUGUCUAAUGAUGGACCAUGAGCUACCACUACUGAUAUCCUUGUUACUUUGUUGUUCACCACUGCUCUAUGCAUGUUGCUCUUGUACUUCCCAUUACUAAAUAUCUACCAUAUUAAAUAAAAUUUUGGUCUUGAAGUAACAGUAAAAUAACUUGCUAUUUCAAUCUUACUAUUAAUAGUCUUGGCAACAAUGAACUCAAUACUUUAAAAGGCCGAUGAUUAAUUUUAAAUCACGCGUCUUUGUGACUGUAGACAUGAAAAAUGGAUUUAAUUACCUCGAGAUGAUCGCCGGUAUUAACCAAGAGAGAGUAGUUAGGAAGGGCCUUGACGUUAAUCCAUUUGCCUUGAUGUUGAACCUGGAGACCUCCAACUUGGUUAUGAAUGAGAAGUGUUAAAAGGCCUUGAUCUGAAUGAGGUGGCAUACCCAUUGCUAGUUCAGGUUGAGGACAAGGUGGAUAGUAAUUUCCAACGAAGAUUUGAAGCCCUGAUUCCAACUCUAAAUCUUUCUCCAAGUAACUUUCUUCAAGCCCUAAACUUUCAGAUAUGCCUCCUAGUAACUUUCUUGUCACUUCCCGGAGUUUCUCACUAUACUCCGACAUAAUACCCCUGUAGGUUUGUGGUUUGGUGGGAGAGUGAAAAUGAGGAUGGACAAAGACCUUGAGAAAAUCUCUCCAAAAGAAGACAUUUUCUGUACUAGUAUUGAAACUUGUCCCAUAUCUUAUAGGAUCCAACACAUGCUUCCCAGUAAACUUGUGUUUUUCUUCCUCUGGUAAAUUGAAAAAUUCAUGAGUGCAAUCAAUCACUGACUUCAUCAGAUUUUCUGGUAUGCCGUGGUUCACUACCAUGAAGAAGCCCCAACCUUGACAAGCUUUGGUGAGGUGGUGGAUGGCUGUAGAACGUUGAUGAGAAUCAUGAGAGGUGAGUAGAGAAAAAUCAACAAUGGGGAUUGAAUCUGAAUCAUCAAUAUCAUUUGUAGCAGAGGAAUUGGAAGAGUCAUAAACAUAAUUGUAAGGUAUGCAACGCAAAUCAGGAGAUUCAGCAAGCUCUUUGACAUUGGAUGGUUUAACCACAAGUGGAGCUGUAGCUUCCAUAAUUGAUGAAAAUGCUUGGAAAGAGGUUGAUAAUUUAUAGAGAUAAAUGUUGUA